Molecule: ribosomal RNA, 256 nt
Filed under: uncultured bacterium
Lineage: Bacteria
Description: partial 16S ribosomal RNA
Rfam family: Bacterial small subunit ribosomal RNA
Source: RNAcentral
UACGAAGGGUGCAAGCGUUACUCGGAAUUACUGGGCGUAAAGCGUGCGUAGGUGGUUUGUUAAGUCUGUUGUGAAAGCCCCGGGCUCAACCUGGGAAUGGCAAUGGAUACUGGAUAGCUAGAGUGUGAUAGAGGAUGGUGGAAUUCCCGGUGUAGCGGUGAAAUGCGUAGAGAUCGGGAGGAACAUCAGUGGCGAAGGGCGGCCAUCUGGAUCAACACUGACGGCUGAGGCACGAAAGCGUGGGGAGCAAACAGGG